This 465-nucleotide ribosomal RNA is filed under the name uncultured bacterium. Its description in RNAcentral is "partial 16S ribosomal RNA". It matches the Rfam family "Bacterial small subunit ribosomal RNA", at positions 28 to 507 of the family's 1533-position model. The record is from RNAcentral.
GACGAACGCUGGCGGCGUGCUUAACACAUGCAAGUCGAACGGAAAGGCCCUGCUUGCCGGGUACUCGAGUGGCGAACGGGUGAGUAGCACGUGGGUGAUCUGCCCUGCACUUCGGGAUAAGCCUGGGAAACUGGGUCUAAUACCGGAUAGGAGCCAUUUUUAGUGUGAUGGUUGGAAAGUUUUUUCGGUGUAGGAUGAGCUCGCGGCCUAUCAGCUUGUUGGUGGGGUAAUGGCCUACCAAGGCGGCGACGGGUAGCCGGCCUGAGAGGGUGGACGGCCACAUUGGGACUGAGAUACGGCCCAGACUCCUACGGGAGGCAGCAGUGGGGAAUAUUGCACAAUGGGCGCAAGCCUGAUGCAGCGACGCCGCGGGGGGGAUGACGGCCUUCGGGUUGUAAACUCCUUUCGCUAGGGACGAAGCUUUUUGUGACGGUACCUAGAUAAGAAGCACCGGCUAACUACGUG